This 887-nucleotide ribosomal RNA is filed under the name uncultured organism. Its description in RNAcentral is "bacterial SSU rRNA". It matches the Rfam family "Bacterial small subunit ribosomal RNA", at positions 21 to 886 of the family's 1533-position model. The record is from RNAcentral.
GGCUCAGAACGAACGCUGGCGGCAUGCCUAAUACAUGCAAGUCGAACGAGAAAGUCCCUUCGGGGGCGAGUAGAGUGGCGCACGGGUGAGUAACGCGUAGGUGACCUACCCUUUAGUGGGGGAUAACAGGGAGAAAUUCCUGCUAAUACCGCAUAAGCCAGGCCCAUUUGAAUAGGGCCUUGGAAAGAUGGCCUCUGCAUAUGCCAUCGCUGAAGGAAGGGCCUGCGUUCCAUUAGCUUGUUGGUGGGGUAAUGGCCUACCAAGGCGACGAUGGAUAGCCGGCCUGAGAGGGUGAUCGGCCACACUGGGACUGAGACACGGCCCAGACUCCUACGGGAGGCAGCAGUAGGGAAUAUUGCGCAAUGGAGGAAACUCUGACGCAGCAAUGCCGCGUGAGUGAGGACGGCCUUCGGGUUGUAAAGCUCUUUCAUUGGGGAAGAAUGGCCUAGACGUUAAUAGCGUUUAGGAUUGACGGUACCCAAAGAAGAAGCACCGGCUAACUUCGUGCCAGCAGCCGCGGUAAUACGAAGGGUGCAAGCGUUGUUCGGAUUUACUGGGCGUAAAGCGCGUGUAGGCGGAUCGGUAAGUCAGGUGUGAAAUCUCGGGGCCCAACCCCGAAACUGCGCCUGAAACUGCCAAUCUAGAGUCCUGGAGAGGGAAGGGGAAUUUCAUGUGUAGGGGUAAAAUCCGUAGAGAUAUGAAAGAACACCAGAGGCGAAGGCGCCUUCCUGGACAGGAACUGACGCUAAGACGCGAAAGCGUGGGGAGCAAACCGGAUUAGAUACCCUGGUAGUCCACGCUGUAAACGAUGGGUGCUAGUUUUUGCGGGUAUUGACCCCUGCAGGAACAAAGCUAACGCAUUAAGUACCCCGNCUGGGGAGUACGGU